Molecule: transfer RNA, 74 nt
Filed under: Chanos chanos (milkfish)
Lineage: Eukaryota; Metazoa; Chordata; Actinopteri; Gonorynchiformes; Chanidae
Description: tRNA-Ile
Rfam family: tRNA
About the family: Transfer RNA (tRNA) molecules are approximately 80 nucleotides in length.
Source: RNAcentral
AGGAACCGUGCCUGAACGUUUAAGGGCCACUUUGAUAGAGUGGAUCACGAGGGUUAAACCCCCUCCAGUUCCUU